AUAACAAAAUGUGGCCCUGGCAUCAUGUAGGUCGGGUCAUGGCUCUGUCGAUUCUGGGUUGACUUGGAGACCAGCUUGGGUUGGGUACCAGCCUAUCUAUCGGGCUGGAGUGGAUUGGUUGGGUGCCAGCCUAAAGAGUCUGCGGUUGAACUGCUCUUAGUACAUGCAAACUGAGUCAUGAGGGUCAUUUACUUGAAAACCCAACAUAAUAUAGAUCAUUGUGAGUGCUCUACAGGGAGCAUCAUAUUCAGCGUGAAGGGAAAUAAUGAGAUUUAUGUGGGAUUUCUAGUGACUAGCAUGCAUAUACAAUUCAUAAUUUAUAUACAUUAGCAACAGAAGCAUGUUAUCACAUAAUAUCAAAGCUAUAGUCAUGCAAAUCCCCUUCAAGAAGCAUAGGUUCAUAUAUGAUGCAUCUUAGAAAUUAUUGAAGAACAAAGUGAAGGUAUAGUUUUAUACCUCUUGAUCUAG
This 468-nucleotide long non-coding RNA is filed under the name Malus domestica (apple). RNAcentral describes it as "long non-coding RNA (MDOM_LNC017947)". Lineage: Eukaryota; Viridiplantae; Streptophyta; Magnoliopsida; Rosales; Rosaceae. The record is from RNAcentral.